AGGUGAUAUGAACCGUUAUAACCGGCGAUUUCCGAAUGGGGAAACCCAGUGUGUUUCGACACACUAUCAUUAACUGAAUCCAUAGGUUAAUGAGGCGAACCGGGGGAACUGAAACAUCUAAGUACCCCGAGGAAAAGAAAUCAACCGAGAUUCCCCCAGUAGCGGCGAGCGAACGGGGAGGAGCCCAGAGCCUGAAUCAGUGUGUGUGUUAGUGGAAGCGUCUGGAAAGGCGCGCGAUACAGGGUGACAGCCCCGUACACAAAAAUGCACAUAUUGUGAGCUCGAUGAGUAGGGCGGGACACGUGGUAUCCUGUCUGAAUAUGGGGGGACCAUCCUCCAAGGCUAAAUACUCCUGACUGACCGAUAGUGAACCAGUACCGUGAGGGAAAGGCGAAAAGAACCCCGGCGAGGGGAGUGAAAAAGAACCUGAAACCGUGUACGUACAAGCAGUGGGAGCCUCUUUAUGGGGUGACUGCGUACCUUUUGUAUAAUGGGUCAGCGACUUAUAUUCUGUAGCAAGGUUAACCGAAUAGGGGAGCCGAAGGGAAACCGAGUCUUAACUGGGCGUUAAGUUGCAGGGUAUAGACCCGAAACCCGGUGAUCUAGCCAUGGGCAGGUUGAAGGUUGGGUAACACUAACUGGAGGACCGAACCGACUAAUGUUGAAAAAUUAGCGGAUGACUUGUGGCUGGGGGUGAAAGGCCAAUCAAACCGGGAGAUAGCUGGUUCUCCCCGAAAGCUAUUUAGGUAGCGCCUCGUGAAUUCAUCUCCGGGGGUAGAGCACUGUUUCGGCAAGGGGGUCAUCCCGACUUACCAACCCGAUGCAAACUGCGAAUACCGGAGAAUGUUAUCACGGGAGACACACGGCGGGUGCUAACGUCCGUCGUGAAGAGGGAAACAACCCAGACCGCCAGCUAAGGUCCCAAAGUCAUGGUUAAGUGGGAAACGAUGUGGGAAGGCCCAGACAGCCAGGAUGUUGGCUUAGAAGCAGCCAUCAUUUAAAGAAAGCGUAAUAGCUCACUGGUCGAGUCGGCCUGCGCGGAAGAUGUAACGGGGCUAAACCAUGCACCGAAGCUGCGGCAGCGACACUAUGUGUUGUUGGGUAGGGGAGCGUUCUGUAAGCCUGUGAAGGUGGCCUGUGAGGGUUGCUGGAGGUAUCAGAAGUGCGAAUGCUGACAUAAGUAACGAUAAAGCGGGUGAAAAGCCCGCUCGCCGGAAGACCAAGGGUUCCUGUCCAACGUUAAUCGGGGCAGGGUGAGUCGACCCCUAAGGCGAGGCCGAAAGGCGUAGUCGAUGGGAAACAGGUUAAUAUUCCUGUACUUGGUGUUACUGCGAAGGGGGGACGGAGAAGGCUAUGUUGGCCGGGCGACGGUUGUCCCGGUUUAAGCGUGUAGGCUGGUUUUCCAGGCAAAUCCGGAAAACCAAGGCUGAGGCGUGAUGACGAGGCACUACGGUGCUGAAGCGACAAAUGCCCUGCUUCCAGGAAAAGCCUCUAAGCAUCAGGUAACAUCAAAUCGUACCCCAAACCGACACAGGUGGUCAGGUAGAGAAUACCAAGGCGCUUGAGAGAACUCGGGUGAAGGAACUAGGCAAAAUGGUGCCGUAACUUCGGGAGAAGGCACGCUGAUAUGUAGGUGAAGCGACUUGCUCGUGGAGCUGAAAUCAGUCGAAGAUACCAGCUGGCUGCAACUGUUUAUUAAAAACACAGCACUGUGCAAACACGAAAGUGGACGUAUACGGUGUGACGCCUGCCCGGUGCCGGAAGGUUAAUUGAUGGGGUUAGCGGUAACGCGAAGCUCUUGAUCGAAGCCCCGGUAAACGGCGGCCGUAACUAUAACGGUCCUAAGGUAGCGAAAUUCCUUGUCGGGUAAGUUCCGACCUGCACGAAUGGCGUAAUGAUGGCCAGGCUGUCUCCACCCGAGACUCAGUGAAAUUGAACUCGCUGUGAAGAUGCAGUGUACCCGCGGCAAGACGGAAAGACCCCGUGAACCUUUACUAUAGCUUGACACUGAACAUUGAGCCUUGAUGUGUAGGAUAGGUGGGAGGCUUUGAAGUGUGGACGCCAGUCUGCAUGGAGCCGACCUUGAAAUACCACCCUUUAAUGUUUGAUGUUCUAACGUUGGCCCGUAAUCCGGGUUGCGGACAGUGUCUGGUGGGUAGUUUGACUGGGGCGGUCUCCUCCUAAAGAGUAACGGAGGAGCACGAAGGUUGGCUAAUCCUGGUCGGACAUCAGGAGGUUAGUGCAAUGGCAUAAGCCAGCUUGACUGCGAGCGUGACGGCGCGAGCAGGUGCGAAAGCAGGUCAUAGUGAUCCGGUGGUUCUGAAUGGAAGGGCCAUCGCUCAACGGAUAAAAGGUACUCCGGGGAUAACAGGCUGAUACCGCCCAAGAGUUCAUAUCGACGGCGGUGUUUGGCACCUCGAUGUCGGCUCAUCACAUCCUGGGGCUGAAGUAGGUCCCAAGGGUAUGGCUGUUCGCCAUUUAAAGUGGUACGCGAGCUGGGUUUAGAACGUCGUGAGACAGUUCGGUCCCUAUCUGCCGUGGGCGCUGGAGAACUGAGGGGGGCUGCUCCUAGUACGAGAGGACCGGAGUGGACGCAUCACUGGUGUUCGGGUUGUCAUGCCAAUGGCACUGCCCGGUAGCUAAAUGCGGAAGAGAUAAGUGCUGAAAGCAUCUAAGCACGAAACUUGC
Molecule: ribosomal RNA, 2688 nt
Filed under: Escherichia coli
Lineage: Bacteria; Pseudomonadati; Pseudomonadota; Gammaproteobacteria; Enterobacterales; Enterobacteriaceae
Also listed under: 1 other name
Description: partial 23S ribosomal RNA
Rfam family: Bacterial large subunit ribosomal RNA
Source: RNAcentral